RNAcentral lists this ribosomal RNA (514 nucleotides) under uncultured bacterium. RNAcentral's name for it is "bacterial SSU rRNA". It matches the Rfam family "Bacterial small subunit ribosomal RNA", at positions 32 to 522 of the family's 1533-position model. The record is from RNAcentral.
AAUCAACGCUGGCGGCGUGCCUAACACAUGCAAGUCGAACGCGAAAGCCCCUUCGGGGGCAAGUAGAGUGGCGUCCGGGUGAGUAACACGUGGGUAAUCUACCUCCGGGUGGGGAAUAACUCGCCGAAAGGCGGGCUAAUACCGCAUAAUGCAGCGGCACCGAAUGGUGAUUAGUUGUUAAAGCGGGGGACCUUGGGGCCUCGCGUCUGGAGAGGAGCCUGCGGCAGAUUAGCUUGUUGGUAGGGAAUGGCCUACCAAGGCUGCGAUCUGUAGCUGGUCUGAGAGGACGGCCAGCCACACUGGCACUGACACACGGGCCAGACUCCUACGGGAGGCAGCAGUGGGGAAUUUUGGGCAAUGGGCGAAAGCCUGACCCAGCAACGCCGCGUGAAGGAGGAAAUCCUUCGGGAUGUAAACUUCACAAGCAAGGGAAGAGCGCGCAGGGUCGAAUAAACUCUGCGUCCGACGGUACCUUGCGUAAGCCACGGCUAACUACGUGCCAGCCGCCGCGGUA